GGAAGUCUGUAACGGUAUUUUAUUUUGAAAAUUGACCGUUUCUCUGCCGUUUCUGUGUCUGACUUCCUGCCCGGUUCAUCUGCGCUGUGCUGCUUGACGCUGGGAAGCUUCCUGGACACACUCAGUCUAUGGACGCACUGCAGCGCUUCUGGUCCUCUUCUGGUGGAUCUAAAUCAGGAAACACUUAACCACAGUUGUCAGACUCACAGUUGACAUCAACGUGGGGCAAGUGCAAGAGGACCCGGUUAGGCACCUUGUGGUACUCCACUGCCACCAGCUUCAGGGCCAAGUCAGGCGUCACAGAUGUCACAGGACAUUUUAAUGGAAAAAAGCCUGCAUGUUGGGGAAAACAAAACACCAUCUGAGCAUGUCCAGGAUUAUCGUCAUCUCCAUGGCGACUGCCUCCUCCACCUCCACCUCCUGCUCUUUCUCUCCUCACUACUCUCUCCAUCUCCGUGUGGGUAAUCUGUGGUGUUCGCUCUGCAGCGCCCACUCAUUCAUCUCCCAUCCCUACCACAAAAUCUGAAUUCUGAAAUUGCAAAAGGAGUAAUAAACAAGAUUGACUGCAGCUCUCCCUAUUGAUCGCUGCUCCAAUGUGCUUACAUGAUUUGUAAUAUCCCCCCACUCGCCACCCCUCCCCUUCUAGUCCUCAAACAACAGCACCCAAUGGCCAGGCCACAUAGGGACAAUUAUAAUGGGACAGGAAUCAAUUUCUACUAGAUUAAGAUUCUUGUUCUCCUGUGGCCAUAGGGGUUUAAAUGCGAAAGGAAACAUGUUCUGAGAAAGACACUUAUAUAAAAGAUAUAAAAACCCAGUA
This is a long non-coding RNA of Micropterus dolomieu (smallmouth bass), 817 nucleotides long. RefSeq lists it as uncharacterized. The transcript has 3 exons. The record is from RefSeq and is a predicted model, not a curated record. NCBI's taxonomy places the organism in Eukaryota, Metazoa, Chordata, Actinopteri, Centrarchiformes, Centrarchidae.